RNAcentral lists this ribosomal RNA (253 nucleotides) under uncultured prokaryote. RNAcentral describes it as "partial 16S ribosomal RNA". It matches the Rfam family "Bacterial small subunit ribosomal RNA", at positions 524 to 776 of the family's 1533-position model. The record is from RNAcentral.
UACGGGGGGGGCGAGCGUUGUUCGGAAUUAUUGGGCGUAAAGGGCGCGUAGGCGGUGUGGUAAGUCUGUUGUGAAACCUCCAGGCUCAACUUGGAGCUUGCAUCAGAAACUGCCGUGCUAGAGUGCGGGAGAGGAGAGUGGAAUUCCUGGUGUAGCGGUGAAAUGCGUAGAUAUCAGGAGGAACACCGGUGGCGAAAGCGGCUCUCUGGACCGCAACUGACGCUGAGGCGCGAAAGCUAGGGGAGCAAACAGG